AAAGAUUAAGCCAUGCAUGUCUAAGUAUAAACGAUCUAAUCGUGAAACCGCGAAUGGCUCAUUAUAACAGCUAUAAUUUACUUGAUCUUGACACUAUCCUACUUGGAUAACUGUGGUAAUUCUAGAGCUAAUACAUGCAUUAAAGCUCUGACCUCACGGGAAGAGUGCACUUAUUAGAACAAAACCAAGCGGCUUCGGCUGUUUUCGGUUGACUCAUAGUAACUGAGCUGAUCGCACGGUCUUGCACCGGCGACGUGUCUUUCAAGUAUCUGCCGUAUCAACUUUCGAUGGUAGUGUAUCUGACUACCAUGGUGAUCACGCGUAACGGAGAAUAAGGGUUCGGCUCCGGAGAGUUCGCCUGAGAAAUCGCGAACACAUCUAAGGAAGGCAGCAGGCGCGAAAAUUACCCACUCUCAGCACGAGGAGGUAGUGACGAAAAAUAACGAGACCGUUCUCUUAUGAGGCCGGUCAUCGGAAUGGGUACAAUUUAAACCCUUUAACGAGUAUCUAUGAGAGGGCAAGUCUGGUGCCAGCAGCCGCGGUAAUUCCAGCUCUCAAAGUGCAUAGAAUUAUUGCUGCGGUUAAAAAGCUCGUAGUUGGAUCUGUGCCAUAGGACGUGGUCCACCUUCUGGGUGCGUACUAUGUUCCUAGGCUUUUUGCUGGUUUUCCCGUCGUAGCCUUCAUUGGUUGCGGCGGGUGGCUGGCGAGUUUACUUUGAGAAAAUCAGAGUGCUCAACACAGGCGUAUCGCUUGAAUGAUUGUGCAUGGAAUAAUAGAAAAGGAUUUCGGUCCUCUUUUAUUGGUUUUGUGGACUGAGAUAAUGGUUAACAGGGACCAACGGGGGCAUUCGUAUCGCUGCGUGAGAGGUGAAAUUCUUGGACCGUAGCGAGACGCCCUACUGCGAAAGCAUUUGCCAAGAAUG
This 922-nucleotide ribosomal RNA is filed under the name Chiloplacus propinquus. Its description in RNAcentral is "SSU rRNA". It matches the Rfam family "Eukaryotic small subunit ribosomal RNA", at positions 39 to 966 of the family's 1831-position model. Lineage: Eukaryota; Metazoa; Nematoda; Chromadorea; Rhabditida; Cephalobidae. The record is from RNAcentral.